UACGUAGGGUGCGAGCGUUAAUCGGAAUAACUGGGCGUAAAGAGUGCGUAGGCGGAUAUUUAAGUUAGAUGUGAAAUGCCCGAGCUUAACUUGGGACUGGCAUGUAAUACUGGGUAUCUAGAGUUUGUCAGAGGGGGGUAGAAUUCCACGUGUAGCAGUGAAAUGCGUAGAGAUGUGGAGGAAUACCAAUGGCGAAGGCAGCCCCCUGGGAUAGAACUGACGCUGAGGCACGAAAGCGUGGGUAGCAAACAGG
This 253-nucleotide ribosomal RNA is filed under the name uncultured bacterium. RNAcentral's name for it is "partial 16S ribosomal RNA". It matches the Rfam family "Bacterial small subunit ribosomal RNA", at positions 524 to 776 of the family's 1533-position model. The record is from RNAcentral.